This is a long non-coding RNA of Lytechinus pictus (painted urchin), 2355 nucleotides long. RefSeq lists it as uncharacterized. NCBI's taxonomy places the organism in Eukaryota, Metazoa, Echinodermata, Echinoidea, Temnopleuroida, Toxopneustidae. The record is from RefSeq and is a predicted model, not a curated record. The transcript has 3 exons.
CCCAUGCGUGAAAUUGAUUACAGCGUGUUUAAGGACAUUUAGGACAGUUGUACUGAGGUAUUUCCAGAAAUAAAACACCUUGUAUAAAAUCUUUAUGUACGUUUUAAAAAGUGGUCCUUAACUUUUUUUGAGUAGUGUAUAUUACUAGACUGAAAGCUGCGUGCGCGUUCAACACAAAACAAAUGAGAUUAGGCUCCGCCUACCGCGAUCAUUUGAAGACAAAAAUAAGCCCUCAUUGACAUUCAUGACCAUGAAGAUAUUCAUAAUCCAGCCUUUUCAUUGGCUAAGAGCAUUAUUAAUACGAUUCUUAGUCAUCGAUACUAGUGGUAUCGUGUUACAGAAUUAAUCAUUCAUUAGACCUCAUUACAUCAUCUAAUUUAUUCAUUCUGAAACUUUUCUUUCCACUUAAAAAAUGGACCUACGAACACUCUGGUGAGUACGUAUAAAUUGAUAUAACCACAUGAAUUAAGUGAACUAUUUACACAUUUCACACUGUGUUUUUUUAUCUUAGGUUACUUCUUUAACAAAUUAGAGAUUUUGCUAUCAUUCUUCUGUUAAAGUAAAGCAGAAUUUGGUCUUUGAAAUUGAAGUUAAAUUGUCAUCGUCGCCCAGUGCAGCCUGUAUGUUGCUUGCAGUGUUGUGGUUAUGCCGCUGUGUUAACCAUAUGUAUUUUGUACGGGCUCCUAGCCGGCUGGGCAUCGAGAGAAAAUCGGGCCGGUUUGGUUCACCUCAAACAAGGACCAGCCCACGAUUGAUUAAAACAAGAAUAAUGAAGCUUCUUUUUGUACACUGUAACGGUAGAUCUAGAGGGAGAUCUGCAUCUAUCUUCAGUAGAUCAAGACUCAGUCAGGAAUAAACUGUGAAGCGGAGUGUGGAUGGAGAUGCGCCUGUCAUUGUGUAAAUCCUCACUUUCAGUUUCAGAUAAAAUUUAUUUAGCAUAACUUCAGGCUUCUGCAUUUAGCCCCAUCCAUUUUAACUCUUAUUGUUAUUUAUAGAUAUAGUUAGACUAUAUAUUAGAAAUAUCAUGCUGCUCUGCAUGUUUGUCUUAUUAUCAAUAGAUCUAGAACCUAGAUCUAAUUUAUAACUUGGUUAACAGAGGAUUCUAGUCUUGCUUCUUAAUCCUACUUACUUUAUACUUUAUUCAUCGAGGCUAUCUAGGCCUACCUAAUUCAAAUCUAGUCAUCUAACUUAUACUUUCCCAACCCUCGACACUUACCCCCAGGGCUUAUGAUCUAGGUCUGUAAUUUAGGCCUAGAUCUAGGUCUGGGCCUAAAUGUAACUGUACGAGUAUGACUGUCAGUGUCAGUGGACCAAGGACUAGAUCUAGAUCUACUCUCGGUCAAACAAAAAGUUUUAGCCAGGAAUAAAAGUCAGAGUCAGACAUCAAAAAUGUCUAAAUCGAUAUAGAUCUCGGUUUAGAAUCAAAGCUUUCCUUUCUAGGUCUAGAUAGAUCGAGAGUCCAUCGUUAGUCUAGAUCUAUACCUAAUUUAGAUACAUGAAUGCUGUCGCACAUCACGGAGUCUCGUUGGACUAGAUCUAUACUUUCUUACAAAUGGAUCUAGACCUAGUGCAUGAGAUUAUGAAAUUAUCUUAAAAUCAAAUGAAAUAAGAUUCCGAAAUAAAAAGAUGCAGAUUUUUUGGGGGAGUGGGCAGACGUGAAAAUUUUUAGAGAAACCUGAAAUUUAAAAAGCGAGGGCCAGAAACGACCAAUAUUACCUAGGGCCGUUUUGUGCAUUUUCUAGAGUAAAAUUGAAGGAUGUCAUGCAAUUCUUUUUGGAAGAAGGUUUUCACAUUUCAGCUCCCACCCAAACCUCUCCCUCUAUAUAUACGGCCAUGAAAAAGAUCACUUCUUAUUAUUUUUCUCUCUUUUCUUUCAUAAACAGGUUGAGUUUGAAGAACAAGAAAAACAGUAGAGGUCUACCUAUAUGGUUAAAGAUGAUGAUCAUAAGUGCAUGCAUCAUUUCGCAGAUUCUCAUCCAGGAUGAUGCAGUUUUACAAUUUCCAUAGAGAUGAUUGAUGAUGAUGAAUAAUUGGUGAAGUAUGCCUAAUAGAACAGUGACUGGACCACAAAGAGAAAUACAACCUACAGCAGUUAUAUGAGACUGGUGUAACAAAUGUUUUCAUUCAACAAAUCCAACAAUUCAAAAUUGAAGAGUCUGACUUAGGAACCACUUGAUGAAGAUGGAAAAGCUUUUUUCUUUCAAGUCCAAAAAAAAAUUAUUAUCACAACCCCAAAUUCAUGAUGCAUGUAAUUUUCUGUUUAUUUUCAUUAAAACUGGUUGCAAGAGGAAAAGCUAUAACAUACAAAUAGCAGCGGCGGAGUAAAGUUGAAAGUGUGGGGGGGGGGGGCACAUA